GGGCAUUGGCGGACACUGGCAACUGUUUAAUAAGGGUUUUCAAUACGUCUAUGUCCGCCAAAGGCCGUUUUCCCACCCUUCACACGGGUGGGGUCGCAGGUUCAAUCCCUGCCGCGCCCACCA
Molecule: transfer RNA, 123 nt
Filed under: Erythrobacter sp.
Lineage: Bacteria; Pseudomonadati; Pseudomonadota; Alphaproteobacteria; Sphingomonadales; Erythrobacteraceae
Description: tRNA-Val
Source: RNAcentral